UUUCCGUAGGUGAACCUGCGGAAGGAUCAUUAUAGAUUGACCGAAAGGUCGUGUCUUCAUCCACACACACCGUGAACCGUUUUGGAGCCCUCAGGGGUUCCGGACAAACAAACCAAAACAAAACGUAAAGAAUGUAAACUAUCGUAAACAAAACAAAACUUUCAACAACGGAUCUCUUGGCUCUC
RNAcentral lists this unclassified non-coding RNA (185 nucleotides) under soil metagenome. RNAcentral describes it as "partial contains small subunit ribosomal RNA, internal transcribed spacer 1, and 5.8S ribosomal RNA". The record is from RNAcentral.